RNAcentral lists this ribosomal RNA (446 nucleotides) under uncultured bacterium. RNAcentral's name for it is "partial 16S ribosomal RNA". It matches the Rfam family "Bacterial small subunit ribosomal RNA", at positions 338 to 795 of the family's 1533-position model. The record is from RNAcentral.
CCUACGGGUGGCAGCAGUCGAGAAUCAUUCACAAUGGGGGAAACCCUGAUGGUGCGACGCCGCGUGGGGGAAUGAAGGUUUUCGGAUUGUAAACCCCUGUCAUGUGGGAGCAAAUUAAAAAGAUAGUACCACAAGAGGAAGAGACGGCUAUCUCUGUGCCAGCAGUCGCGGUAAUACAGAGGUCUCAAGCGUUGUUCGGAAUCACUGGGCGUAAAGCGUGCGUAGGCUGUUUCGUAAGUCGUGUGUGAAAGGCGCGGGCUCAACCCGCGGACGGCACAUGAUAAUGCGAGACUAGAGUAAGGGAGGGGGAACGGGAAUUCUCGGUGUAGCAGUGAAAUGCGUAGAUAUCGAGAGGAACAUUCGUGGCGAAAGCGGGUUCCUGGACAUUAACUGACGCUGAGGCACGAAGGCCAGGGGAGCGAAAGGGAUUAGAUACCCGAGUAGUC